RNAcentral lists this ribosomal RNA (1528 nucleotides) under Klebsiella pneumoniae. RNAcentral's name for it is "bacterial SSU rRNA". It matches the Rfam family "Bacterial small subunit ribosomal RNA". The record is from RNAcentral. Lineage: Bacteria; Pseudomonadati; Pseudomonadota; Gammaproteobacteria; Enterobacterales; Enterobacteriaceae.
UUGAAGAGUUUGAUCAUGGCUCAGAUUGAACGCUGGCGGCAGGCCUAACACAUGCAAGUCGAGCGGUAGCACAGAGAGCUUGCUCUCGGGUGACGAGCGGCGGACGGGUGAGUAAUGUCUGGGAAACUGCCUGAUGGAGGGGGAUAACUACUGGAAACGGUAGCUAAUACCGCAUAAUGUCGCAAGACCAAAGUGGGGGACCUUCGGGCCUCAUGCCAUCAGAUGUGCCCAGAUGGGAUUAGCUAGUAGGUGGGGUAACGGCUCACCUGGCGACGAUCCUAGCUGGUCUGAGAGGAUGACCAGCCACACUGGAACUGAGACACGGUCCAGACUCCUACGGGAGGCAGCAGUGGGGAAUAUUGCACAAUGGGCGCAAGCCUGAUGCAGCCAUGCCGCGUGUGUGAAGAAGGCCUUCGGGUUGUAAAGCACUUUCAGCGGGGAGGAAGGCGUUAAGGUUAAUAACCUUGGCGAUUGACGUUACCCGCAGAAGAAGCACCGGCUAACUCCGUGCCAGCAGCCGCGGUAAUACGGAGGGUGCAAGCGUUAAUCGGAAUUACUGGGCGUAAAGCGCACGCAGGCGGUCUGUCAAGUCGGAUGUGAAAUCCCCGGGCUCAACCUGGGAACUGCAUUCGAAACUGGCAGGCUAGAGUCUUGUAGAGGGGGGUAGAAUUCCAGGUGUAGCGGUGAAAUGCGUAGAGAUCUGGAGGAAUACCGGUGGCGAAGGCGGCCCCCUGGACAAAGACUGACGCUCAGGUGCGAAAGCGUGGGGAGCAAACAGGAUUAGAUACCCUGGUAGUCCACGCCGUAAACGAUGUCGAUUUGGAGGUUGUGCCCUUGAGGCGUGGCUUCCGGAGCUAACGCGUUAAAUCGACCGCCUGGGGAGUACGGCCGCAAGGUUAAAACUCAAAUGAAUUGACGGGGGCCCGCACAAGCGGUGGAGCAUGGUUUAAUUCGAUGCAACGCGAAGAACCUUACCUGGUCUUGACAUCCACAGAACUUUCCAGAGAUGGAUUGGUGCCUUCGGGAACUGUGAGACAGGUGCUGCAUGGCUGUCGUCAGCUCGUGUUGUGAAAUGUUGGGUUAAGUCCCGCAACGAGCGCAACCCUUAUCCUUUGUUGCCAGCGGUUCGGCCGGGAACUCAAAGGAGACUGCCAGUGAUAAACUGGAGGAAGGUGGGGAUGACGUCAAGUCAUCAUGGCCCUUACGACCAGGGCUACACACGUGCUACAAUGGCAUAUACAAAGAGAAGCGACCUCGCGAGAGCAAGCGGACCUCAUAAAGUAUGUCGUAGUCCGGAUUGGAGUCUGCAACUCGACUCCAUGAAGUCGGAAUCGCUAGUAAUCGUAGAUCAGAAUGCUACGGUGAAUACGUUCCCGGGCCUUGUACACACCGCCCGUCACACCAUGGGAGUGGGUUGCAAAAGUAGGUAGCUUAACCUUCGGGAGGGCGCUUACCACUUUGUGAUUCAUGACUGGGGUGAAGUCGUAACAAGGUAACCGUAGGGAACCUGCGGUUGGAUCACCUCCUU